AGGGAAUCUUCCACAAUGGACGCAAGUCUGAUGGAGCAACGCCGCGUGAGUGAAGAAGGGUUUCGGCUCGUAAAGCUCUGUUGGUAGUGAAGAAAGAUAGAGGUAGUGACUGGCCUUUAUUUGACGGUAAUUACUUAGAAAGUCACGGCUAACUACGUGCCAGCAGCCGCGGUAAUACGUAGGUGGCAAGCGUUGUCCGGAAUUAUUUGGCGUAAAGCGCGCGCAGGCGGAUUGGUCAGUCUGUCUUAAAAGUUCGGGGCUUAACCCCGUGAUGGGAUGGAAACUGCCAAUCUAGAGUAUCGGAGAGGAAAGUGGAAUUCCUAGUGUAGCGGUGAAAUGCGUAGAUAUUAGGAAGAACACCAGUGGCGAAGGCGACUUUCUGGACGAAAACUGACGCUGAGGCGCGAAAGCCAGGGGAGCGAACGGGAUUAGAUACCCCGGUAGUCCUGGCCGUAAACGAUGGGUACUAGGUGUAGGAGGUAUCGACCCCUUCUGUGCCGGAGUUAACGCAAUAAGUACCCCGCCUGGGGAGUACGACCGCAAGGUUG
This 548-nucleotide ribosomal RNA is filed under the name uncultured bacterium. RNAcentral's name for it is "bacterial SSU rRNA". It matches the Rfam family "Bacterial small subunit ribosomal RNA", at positions 356 to 896 of the family's 1533-position model. The record is from RNAcentral.